Long non-coding RNA from Malania oleifera, 834 nucleotides. RefSeq lists it as uncharacterized. The transcript has 2 exons. The record is from RefSeq and is a predicted model, not a curated record. NCBI's taxonomy places the organism in Eukaryota, Viridiplantae, Streptophyta, Magnoliopsida, Santalales, Ximeniaceae.
CUUUUGUUCCUACCUACUUUGCUUGCGCCGCCCUCUAAAUCCUUUUCUCCUUACUCUCUUCCUAGUUGAGUGAUUGGCAACAACUGAUCUCUUGCUCUCCUAGCCAUCGUCUGACUAUCACGGCUGAUCCUCCGUGUUUUGGAAAUCUUUUGUUCAUACUUGAUUCCUUACUUGAUCAUCUAGGUUUUCUCCUCGGUAUGGAAGGUAUAGGAAACAACUUAUUGUAUAAGCUACUUAAGACAAUGUUACUAAUUGGAGCCCAUUGUGUUGUUUUUCAAGUUGAGCCACAUCCUUAUCUCUUUGAGAGACCACAUUAUGAGCAAUAAUUAUAGUGCAGCAAAUAUGGUAAUUUUAAGGGGAAUGUCAUAUGCUCUUAUUCACAUGGUCAAAUUCAGCAUUGACCUCAUUAUGUGAUGGAAGCUCGUCAACAAAACCUUUGAUGGAAGAUUGAUAAUACAAAGUAGCAAAGUUGAAGACCUCCAAGAUACUACAAAGGAGGGCCUAACCUACUGUAAAUACCUUAUUUUUUAUUAUGACAAAGAUGGAGUUAUAGUCAUUGGAUACGAUUCGAUUUAUAUAAUUGAUGGGUUAAGAAAUAUAACAUUUUCUAAAAGUUGGAGAAAUUUAUUCUAGUCAAUCCCUCCAAACAAAUUAGAAACUUCAAGGAAACAAGUUGAAGGAGAGUGAUAUGUCUACCUAGGGCUAAUGAAUGAGUAUUGAAAGCUCCUCGUCGUUCUUCUUCAUGGUUAUUACUAGUUAAUUUUAGUUGCAUUGAUUGUUGGAACAUAUCAUUCUCUUUAGUUGGAUGAACCAUUUUGAACAACUAAAGCAAAA